RNAcentral lists this ribosomal RNA (216 nucleotides) under Synura petersenii. RNAcentral's name for it is "partial 18S ribosomal RNA". It matches the Rfam family "Eukaryotic small subunit ribosomal RNA", at positions 1631 to 1831 of the family's 1831-position model. The record is from RNAcentral. Lineage: Eukaryota; Synurophyceae; Synurales; Mallomonadaceae.
UCAGCUCGCAUGGAUUACGUCCCUGCCCUUUGUACACACCGCCCGUCGCACCUACCGAUUGAAUGAUUCGGUGAAAAUUCUGGACUGUGGCUCGGACGCCUUCGGGCGACCUUGCUGUGGGAAGUUAUUUAAACCUCAUCAUUUAGAGGAAGGUGAAGUCGUAACAAGGUUUCCGUAGGUGAACCUGCGGAAGGAUCAUUACCACACCCUCAAAUA